This 497-nucleotide ribosomal RNA is filed under the name uncultured bacterium. Its description in RNAcentral is "partial 16S ribosomal RNA". It matches the Rfam family "Bacterial small subunit ribosomal RNA", at positions 28 to 507 of the family's 1533-position model. The record is from RNAcentral.
GAUGAACGCUGGCGGCGUGCCUAAUACAUGCAAGUCGAGCGAACGGACGAGAAGCUUGCUUUUCUGAUGUUAGCGGCGGACGGGUGAGUAACACGUGGAUAACCUACCUAUAAGACUGGGAUAACUUCGGGAAACCUGAGCUAAUACCGGAUAAUAUUUUGAACCGCAUGGUUCAAAAGUGAAAGACGGUCUUGCUGUCACUUAUAGAUGGAUCCGCGCUGCAUUAGCUAGUUGGUAAGGUAACGGCUUACCAAGGCAACGAUGCAUAGCCGACCUGAGAGGGUGGUCAGCCACACUGGAACUGAGACACGGUCGAGACUCCUACGGGAGGCAGCAGAAGGGAAUCUUCCGCAAUGGGCGAAAGCCUGACGGAGCAACGCCGCGUGAGUGAUGAGGGUCUUCGGAUCGUAACACUCUGUUAUUAGGGAAGAACAUAUGUGUAAGUAACUGUGCACAUCUUGACGGUACCUAAUCAGAAAGCCACGGCUAACUACGUG